ACGACUUCGGACACGUCGUCAUCAGGGGCGACGACUUCGGACACGUCGUCAUCAGAGGAGGAGGCGACGACUUCGGACACGUCGUCAUCAGGGGCGGGGGCGUCGACUUCGGACACGUCGUCAUCAGGGGCGACGACUUCGGACACGUCGUCAUCAGGGGCGUCGACUUCAGAACAGGAAGGGGCGUCGACUUCAGAACAGGAAGGGGCGUUGACCACCAUCGACUUCGGGUCCACGGGCGUUGACUUCUGGUCCUUCGAUUUUCGGACCGUCGACCUCUGGACCGCUGGUCUCUGGACUGGAACUGGAACCGUCUGCUUCUGGCCCGGAGGAGUCGGCUUCUGGUCCCUCGACUUCUGGACCGCCGACUUUUGGACCGGAUCCGGUACCGUCUGCUUCCGGGCCGGUACCCUCUGCCUCUGGGCCCGCUCCGUCGGCUUAUGGGCCGAUGGCAGAGCCGCUGCUGGGACAGCUGGGAACGAUGAGGAGAGGCGGGAGGUCAGAUCGUCCAGCUGUAGCCGGAGCUUUAUCAGCCGGGCUGCGAUCGCUCCACCUGCAGACGACGGGGGCGCUGAUGGGACCGGUGAUGGGACUGCUGGCCUGGCCGGGGGUGGGUACAAGGCGCUGAGUCAGGCAGGGGCAUUAGCGAGUCCGCAGCUCCGCGCCGGGACAAAGGGCUGUGGUGGAGCUCGGCGUUCUUCUCCACGCCGCGGACCAACUCCGGGGGAACAGACCGCCAGUCUCGUGCCCACGAAACUGGAGCGAUCUGGCAGCGGCUCCCGGUCCAAACAUGCCUCCGGUUCCGGGAGGACAGGGAGGAACGCCGCGGCCGAAGGUCGGCGAUGCCGGCGGCGACGAGGCAGAGCUGAGGCUGGAGAGGGAGAAGCCGGCUGGUGGGUUGGGGUAAGCCACUGGAGCAGGUUCUCCCAAGGCAGAAUCUCCCGGCUGGAUCCAUCAACGGGUUUGGGUGGUGUCAUUCUGUCACGACGUGCUGCGGAGUGGAGCGGAGGUAAGGCGUGGAUCCAGACCGGGGAGGAAACAGGCAGGCAGGUAGGAACGAUUAACAAGGGUUUAUUAAGCACGCUGGACAAUGAAACAAUGACACCACAAGGAACACAGAACAGCAGGGAUUUAAAUACAUGAGGAACGGGAGCUAUGGUGAUUGGGAAACAAGAGGCAGGUGGGAGCAAUUAACGGAGACACAGACUACAACCUAGGAGAAGACAGGACAGGGUGUGGCACUCUGAGCCUGUUUGGACCAACCUCUAAGGCACAUGUGUUAGACGCAAUCUGGCCCGCGGAGCAUUUUUAUGUGGCCCGUGAGACAAAUAUCAAAAAUAUAUUAAAACUGACGCGCUGGACGAUUUUACUGUUGUAGGGUUUGGCAAAUUGAGUGCUUUAAGAGCUCAAUAUGACCAAUAGAGCUCCGGGAGUUGACGUCACGUUUCCCGGCAUGCAACAGUUCAAAUCGAAACGGCGCCAUUAGGCAGGCAGAAGCCGGCAGCUGGACUAUUUGUUAUUGUCAGAAAACGCAAUCAAAUGGGAAAUAUGGUAGAUUCCUGUUGUGCCCCAGGAUGCAGAACAGACGCGGAUGACAUAAGGAAUGAGCCAUCUACAGGAUUCCCCAAGAUCCAGAACGCCGCAAACGUUGGAUCAUUGUAAUAAAACGCGCUAGUGACCGGGCUGAAAUGAAGCUGUGGGAUCCCGAGAGUAAAGGUUUUCGCUUAUGCAGCGUCCGCUUCAUAUCAGGUACUUAAACCAACGUGUCCUCAACUGUAUAUGGUGUUUAUUUUAAAUGCUUUUAUUACGAUUCUUAGUGGGCUUCCUAAACUUAUUUAGGCGUGGCUUUUUCUGUCUUAUUACUCAUAGCAACAAGUAAAGAUCACGUAAAACAUUGCCUCGUGAGUUCUGCGUGCUGCCGUUUGCGUGUUUUAUGAUCACAGCAAUUAACCGGCUAAGCUGUAUUUAAUUUUUAAGCAAUGGUUGAUCAAUUGUCAGAUCACACAUAAAAAGCACUUUGGAUUGCUAUUAUCUGUCUCACCGAGACACAUCCUGAGACGCUCCUGCCUGACAUAUUUAUUUUAUUCACGGAAAAAAAAAUCAAACUGGUGAUUUCUCUUGCCGUUCAGUUUAUACAUUCAAACAGCACAGCACUCUAUUUAAACUACUUACGUGUAAAUCUGUUAUUUGUCCAUCCAUCCAUUUUCAUCCGCUUAUCCGGAGUCGGGUUCCGGGGGCAGUAGCGUCGAGAGGCCCUGACUUCCCUCUCCCCAGCCGCCGGAGCCAGCUCCUCCGGGUAAAUCCCAAGGGGUUCCCC
RNAcentral lists this long non-coding RNA (2317 nucleotides) under Nothobranchius furzeri (turquoise killifish). RNAcentral describes it as "lncRNA (ENSNFUG00015005076.1)". The record is from RNAcentral. Lineage: Eukaryota; Metazoa; Chordata; Actinopteri; Cyprinodontiformes; Nothobranchiidae.